UGCACCUACGGGGCGCAGCAGUGGGGGAUAUUGGACAAUGGGGGAAACCCUGAUCCAGCGAUGCCGCGUGAGGGAAGAAGGUUUUCGGAUUGUAAACCUCUGUGGAGGGGGACGAUAAUGACGGUACCCCUUUAGGAAGCCACGGCUAACUACGUGCCAGCAGCCGCGGUAAUACGUAGGGAGCGAGCGUUGUCCGGAAUUACUGGGUGUAAAGGGAGCGUAGGCGGGGGAGAAAGUUGAAUGUUAAAUCUACCGGCUUAACUGGUAGCUGCGUUCAAAACUUCUUGUCUUGAGUGAAGUAGAGG
This 305-nucleotide ribosomal RNA is filed under the name uncultured bacterium. Its description in RNAcentral is "bacterial SSU rRNA". It matches the Rfam family "Bacterial small subunit ribosomal RNA", at positions 335 to 657 of the family's 1533-position model. The record is from RNAcentral.